GGGUGCGAUCAUACCAGCACUAAUGCACUGGAUCCCAUCAGAACUCCGCAGUGAAGCGUGCUUGGGCGAGAGUAGGAUGGGUGACCUCCUGGGAAGUCCUCAUGUUGCACCCC
Non-coding RNA from Corchorus olitorius, 113 nucleotides. NCBI's taxonomy places the organism in Eukaryota, Viridiplantae, Streptophyta, Magnoliopsida, Malvales, Malvaceae. The record is from Rfam.